GUGAAAACCUAGCAUCCUCCGAGACACCCGCGCUCCCUUCCCUUGUCGGCGCCUGCGCCUGCGCUCGCUGGCCACGGAAGGGCGGCGGCGGACUCGUCUCCUCCCUCCACCCCCAAUCAACUCUCGCGUCCCCUCCACCUCCCCUAUAGCAGGCGCAGCGGGAUGGCCAAGAAGCCCGCCGGAGACGCGGAGGCGGAAGAGCGGCGGCGCCUGCGCUCGCUGGCCGCGGAACAGCGGCGGCUGGCCGGCCCUGGAGUAGCACGCGAGGGAUCAGCGGUCGAAGCUCUGCCACCGAGCCCUCCUCCGCUAUCCUCGGUGACCCUUGGUCGUUGCCUCCAAGCUCUCCUAUUAGGCUACCAUGGCGGCCUACAGUGGCAGGAGAUGUCACGUCUGCAGGUGUCUAGGGCUGUAACAUGGACAAUAGAUGCAGUACUAAAUACAAUCAACGGCUAUCUUGUGUUGGAUUUCUUCUCAUCAGAGCUAUGAGGUCCAUUUUAUGGAUAUGUUCUCUGUGUGGCAGCACUUCAAGGCCUAAUAUGUAGCAUGCUACAUCAAUGCAUGGUAUGAGAGAACCGGGAUGCAAAUGCUACAUGCAGCUUCUGUACCAAGCUUGAAGAAAUUCAGAAAUUAAGGAAGCAUAAAAAAUUCAAGAUCUUUUACAUCAGAAUGUUGCUGCAUGUUUUGUAUAGAUUGGUAAUGCGCAGCAGCUGCAAGAGGUUACAAUUGUAGAUUACUCUGUUGGAAAUACGCGCCCUCAUGACCCCUUCAGCGUGGCAUUAUCACUCCAUGUCACCAUGUCGUAUGCACAGAGGUAGCCUUCUGGUAUGUGUCAUACUAUAUACAUUUUUGUGUGCCUGGUGAUUUCUGGAAUGGUACCAUAUACAUUGCUUGGUGAAGAUGCUCCCUUGGCUGAGGCUUUUGCUGCUAAGAGGUUGAGAUUUGUUACUGUGUUGAGCAUUGGAGCUGUUGCUGAUCUUACUACAACACUUCUUGUUGGUCUGUAUGUUCAGUUCCCGAAGUCCUCAUCUGCCAGAAGCACAACUAUCUGGUUGACUGGUCCUCUUUGCUUCUUCCACCCUUGCCGCCAGAGGACGCCACCCAUCAGCACAGAGCGUUUUGGCUCAGAGGCUAUUUUGAGCAGUGCUGCCAGAAGAUGCAGAUCAGGAAGGAAGCAGAGCAACCAGGCGCGAGUAAUGGUAUCAUCAGGGCUGCCUCAUAGGUUGAUUUAAAAAGGGUACAGUAUCCAGAAAAGAGGAUUUUUUAGCUUGAAAAGACUAUUCCACUGCACCAUCGCUGGUCAAUUAUUACACUACAUACCUCGCAUGGAAAAUUGUCACGUUGCUGGAUUUUGCUUCAAAAGCUCAUUGAACGAAAUAAUAGCAAUCAAGAACACGUGCUGCUUCAUCAGGCCAAUUCUUCCGCGCAAGACGCGGAGGCCUUCAUCGAGCUUCGCGGAAACCUUCGCAGGUCAGAUUCUGUUCAUCGCUUGCUUGCUUAUCAUCCUCGAAACAUUCCUGGCGCACCGCUAAAUAUAGUCCAGCAAUGUAGCAACCAAUUUCAACUCACACUCUUGAACACUUAUCUAAGCAUUUCCAGAAACUAGAAACAAAAGUAAGCUGCAGGUAAAUAUUCAAUUGCAUCAUAGUAACAUCAUAGCACUGAUUUGUACCGAUUUGUACCGAUUUAAUAUAUCCGAAGUCUGCGUCCUACAAAACUAUAUAGCUGAUAAAAGCAUAUGGUAUACAAGUCAGCAUGCUGCUGGACAAUACUUAACUCAUCUUCUUUUAUCUUUUACUUCAAUCCAUUUCAAUCAUAAACUUCUUAACAUGUGUUCUGUAGUUCUUAGAGUACUUAUUCAUAUACAUACUCCUAACUUCAUGUUGCUCUACCUUCUUUCGCCGUUCUACUUCAUGAUCAAAUAAUAUUUGUAUGUCUAUAACAACUUCCAUGGAGACUGUAAAGAUUCCAACAGAUGAGCUUCUGGAAGCCAUGCUAAAGAAGCUGGGUCUUCCAUGUCCCAGGUACGACAACAAGCACGCUGGCGGAGGAUGCUUUGAAGUAACCCUGACAUACUACCCUCCUUGGCAUUAUCUGCAAUCUUUGAUUCCUCCGCACUCAUUAUCUCUUUACUGUUUGUUAUUGUGAAACAAAGAUUGGAUGUGUGUCUAUUCUUUUAUGCUGCCUGCAUUUUUGGAAAACAAAUUUUAUGGUUUGAAAUAGAGGUCUGCGGGGUGGUUAUCGAGGAUGGCGAGUUCAUGUGCAAGUGGAUAUUUGUGUUGAGCGGGACCAGGAAGGCCAAGUGCAUCUUUGUUGCUGAGCACAUCAAGGAAUCUGUAUAUCAGUCAGCUAAUAUUCAGCCUCCAUAUACAUACCAGCGCUGCAUUAGCCUUCUGUGCAUUCAUCGUCGAACAGCAUACAAACAUUUAUCUUCUUUCCCCAGGAGAAAAAGGGCACCUUUCAGCGCUCUAGGUUUCUGUUGAAGGUGCUACAUCUGCUGCGGGGUGAUUACUUGUCAAAGAUGGCAACUACAUCGGUGGACCAAACUGCACAUUCUUUAGUUAUGGUGAAUGCAACUAUCUAACCAUUUCAAGGAUGUGUUAAAAGCAGGCUCAGUUUAUGCUAUAGAAUUCUUCAUGGAUAAAGGAGAUUAUGACCUAGCCAAAAAUAGCUUGCCACCGUUUUAUGAUACAUUAAUGCUAACUUUAAUAUACUCUUUUAUCCUAAUAUAAGACCUAGAUAUAAGAAAAUUAUUGGUGUCCUGCAUUUUUUAGUGUUUUAUAAAAUAAAAACUGAUGUGAAGUCAUGGGAUCGAUCA
This is a non-coding RNA of Lolium perenne, 2815 nucleotides long. Lineage: Eukaryota; Viridiplantae; Streptophyta; Magnoliopsida; Poales; Poaceae. The record is from RefSeq and is a predicted model, not a curated record.